GCGUGCUUAACACAUGCAAGUCGAACGAUGAAGCUCCAGCUUGCUGGGGUGGAUUAGUGGCGAACGGGUGAGUAACACGUGAGUAACCUGCCCCCUUCUUCGGGAUAAGCCUUGGAAACGGGGUCUAAUACCGGAUAUUCACUUCCUGUCGCAUGGCGGGGGGUGGAAAGAUUUUUUGGUGGGGGAUGGGCUCGCGGCCUAUCAGCUUGUUGGUGGGGUGAUGGCCUACCAAGGCGUCGACGGGUAGCCGGCCUGAGAGGGCGACCGGCCACACUGGGACUGAGACACGGCCCAGACUCCUACGGGAGGCAGCAGUGGGGAAUAUUGCACGAUGGGCGAAAGCCUGAUGCAGCGACGCCGCGUGAGGGAUGACGGCCUUCGGGUUGUAAACCUCUUUCGACACGGAAGAAGGCCUUCGGGUUGACGGUACGUGUAGAAGAAGCGCCGGCUAACUACGUGCCAGCAGCCGCGGUAAUACGUAGGGCGCAAGCGUUGUCCGGAAUUAUUGGGCGUAAAGAGCUCGUAGGCGGUCUGUCGCGUCUGGUGUGAAAACCUGAGGCUCAACCUUGGGCUGGCAUCGGGUACGGGCAGGCUAGAGUGCGGUAGGGGAGACUGGAAUUCCUGGUGUAGCGGUGGAAUGCGCAGAUAUCAGGAGGAACACCGAUGGCGAAGGCAGGUCUCUGGGCCGUUACUGACGCUGAGGAGCGAAAGCAUGGGGAGCGAACAGGAUUAGAUACCCUGGUAGUCCAUGCCGUAAACGUUGGGCACUAGGUGUGGGGCAGGUUCCACCUGUUCUGUGCCGUAGCUAACGCAUUAAGUGCCCCGCCUGGGGAGUACGGCCGCAAGGCUAAAACUCAAAGGAAUUGACGG
Molecule: ribosomal RNA, 870 nt
Filed under: uncultured Myceligenerans sp.
Lineage: Bacteria; Bacillati; Actinomycetota; Actinomycetes; Micrococcales; Promicromonosporaceae
Description: bacterial SSU rRNA
Rfam family: Bacterial small subunit ribosomal RNA
Source: RNAcentral